This 495-nucleotide ribosomal RNA is filed under the name uncultured bacterium. Its description in RNAcentral is "partial 16S ribosomal RNA". It matches the Rfam family "Bacterial small subunit ribosomal RNA", at positions 27 to 507 of the family's 1533-position model. The record is from RNAcentral.
GGACGAACGCUGGCGGCGUGCUUAACACAUGCAAGUCGAACGGAAAGGCCUGCUUUCCCUUGUGGAUUGCGGGUACUCGAGUGGCGAACGGGUGAGUAACACGUGAGUGAUCUGCCCCCAACUUGGGUAUAAGCCUGGGAAACUGGGUCUAAUUCCCGAUAGGACUGCAGGGUGGUGCCUGUGGUGGAAAACGAUUUUCUAGUGGUUGGGGAUGAGCUCGCGGCCUAUCAGCUUGUUGGUGGGGUAAUGGCCUACCAAGGCGGCGACGGGUAGCCGGCCUGGGAGGGUGGACGGCCACAUUGGGACUGGGAUACGGCCCAGACUCCUACGGGAGGCAGCAGUGGGGAAUAUUGCACAAUGGGCGGAAGCCUGAUGCAGCGACGCCGCGUGGGGGAUGACGGCCUUCGGGUUGUAAACUCCUUUCGACCGCGAGGAAGCCACCUGGUUGGAAGGGUGGUGACGGUAGUGGUAGAAGAAGCACCGGCUAACUACGUG